Molecule: ribosomal RNA, 404 nt
Filed under: uncultured bacterium
Lineage: Bacteria
Description: bacterial SSU rRNA
Rfam family: Bacterial small subunit ribosomal RNA
Source: RNAcentral
AGCGAACGUUUGCGGCGGGCUUAACACAUGCAAGUCGAACGGGCUGUUCCUUCGGGGGCAGUCAGUGGCGCACGGGUGCGUAACACGUAGGUAAUCAACCCUCUGGUUGGGGAUAACACUUCGAAAGGAGUGCUAAUACCCGGUAUGGCGCAGCGGUCUUCGGAUCGCGGCGAGAAAGACCCGCAAGGGUUGCCAGAGGACGAGCCUGCGGCCCAUCAGCUAGUUGGCGAGGUAACGGCUCACCAAGGCGAAGACGGGCAGCUGGUCUGAGAGGAUGAUCAGCCACACUGGAACUGAGACACGGUCCAGACUCCUACGGGAGGCAGCAGUGGGGAAUAUUGCGCAAUGGGCGAAAGCCUGACGCAGCCACGCCGCGUGAGCGAUGAAGGCCUCGGUCGUAAGAC